UACGAAGGGGCUAGCGUUGCUCGGAAUUACUGGGCGUAAAGCGCACGUAGGCGGCUUCUAAGUCGGAGGUGAAAUCCUGGAGCUCAACUCCAGAACUGCCUUCGAUACUGGAGAGCUUGAGUCCGGGAGAGGUGAGUGGAACUGCGAGUGUAGAGGUGAAAUUCGUAGAUAUUCGCAAGAACACCAGUGGCGAAGGCGGCUCACUGGCCCGGUACUGACGCUGAGGUGCGAAAGCGUGGGGAGCAAACAGG
RNAcentral lists this ribosomal RNA (251 nucleotides) under uncultured bacterium. Its description in RNAcentral is "partial 16S ribosomal RNA". It matches the Rfam family "Bacterial small subunit ribosomal RNA", at positions 524 to 776 of the family's 1533-position model. The record is from RNAcentral.